GAUGAACGCUGGCGGCGUGCCUAAUACAUGCAAAUCGAGCGAACGGACGAGAAGCUUGCUUCUCUGAUGUUAGCGGCGGACGGGUGAGUAACACGUGGAUAACCUACCUAUAAGACUGGGAUAACUUCGGGAAACCGGAGCUAAUACCGGAUAAUAUUUUGAACCGCAUGGUUCAAAAGUGAAAGACGGUCUUGCUGUCACUUAUAGAUGGAUCCGCGCUGCAUUAGCUAGUUGGUAAGGUAAUGGCUUACCAAGGCAACGAUGCAUAGCCGACCUGAGAGGGUGAUCGGCCACACUGGAACUGAGACACGGUCCAGACUCCUACGGGAGGCAGCAGUAGGGAAUCUUCCGCAAUGGGCGAAAGCCUGACGGAGCAACGCCGCGUGAGUGAUGAAGGUCUUCGGAUCGUAAAACUCUGUUAUUAGGGAAGAACAUAUGUGUAAGUAACUGUGCACAUCUUGACGGUACCUAAUCAGAAAGCCACGGCUAACUACGUG
Molecule: ribosomal RNA, 497 nt
Filed under: uncultured bacterium
Lineage: Bacteria
Description: partial 16S ribosomal RNA
Rfam family: Bacterial small subunit ribosomal RNA
Source: RNAcentral